GCCGCCGGCGCUGCCGGCCCCGGGACCAUAAAAUGGCCGCGCCGCGCCCCGCCGUACCUCGGGCUCGCCCGCUCUCUCCUCCAUCAGCCUGGAGGCAGCGGCUUUUGGGAGGCGCGGAGGUGGCUCGGGUAAAAUGAAUGAAGUUAGAGGAGUGCGGGAGCGCAUGGCGGAGUGCUGGGGCCCGCCGGCCUCUCACCUCGCUCAAGUCGGGGUAAAGGUCUUUGCAAGAUUCAAAGAUUCCUUUUAGUCUUAAAAUCUUCUGUGACCUGAUCAUAUUCAAAUCCAAAAGUUGGAUUUUUGCAAAAUGUACAGCGUUGCCACGCCAACUAAAGUGAAAUUGCAAGUCAUGGCCUCAGCUAUUCCAAAGAAGAUUGACAGAGCUGUAGCAAGACAUCAGAGCUUUUCAGUGAUUCUCAGGAGACUGGAAUACAAGUCCCAGAGAUCUGUAAGAAGACAUUCACAUCUGUGUAGAAGUCCAGAGUGCUUUGAUCUUCUCAGUGUUUCUCCUCAAGAUGAGAAUGGCCUUCUGAGACAUUAUUUCCCACUGUUAGAAGGAUGUGGAUGUCCACUGCUAUUUUUGAAGAUGUAAUUUAUAUUCUUUAAUGAAGUUAUAUCCUAACAGCGCCAGUCCACAUGAAAUGCUGUUAUAUAUGCAUUAUCAGAUAGCAGAAGGUGUGCUUAGAAGUCUCAGACAAGAUGAAGUUUUCUCCAGAAUUAUAUUUCAAUUAGCCCCUAUGAAGUAAGAUACAAGAAGUGUUCAUGGUGUAGAGUGUGGCUCGGAUGCAGUCUGUAGAGAACUUUUUUUGACGUAAAGCAGUACGAGCCCUGAGACAGAGGAGGUUAAAUUAAGAGUUACCUUUGUGUGCCCAAAGUUAUACUGUAUAAGGACAUCUUAGUGGGAGAGGAUGUUCUAACUCACAGUGACUUUUGAGAUCUGUGGUAUUUGUUAACAAGCUGUACCAAUUUGUAAAGUGGCCUAUCACAAGCAUUUGUUUUAACUUUAAAGAUUCCCCAAGUUUUUAUGCUCUUUGAUAAAUGACAAUGUCGGUCAUUAAGUGUCUGUCUUUGAUUCAUUCCAGGCAUGCUUAAUUCUUAUCAUUAGCUGUCUGUAUAAAAACAAGAUGAAUCUGGUUACUCUUGGUGUGUUAUUCCUAAUGGAUACCAUUAGGUCCUGUUCUUCUUCAAGCAGAUGUAGCUGUUAAAAGUCGGAGGCCAAGAAGCUAAGAGAUAGCUGGGGCCAGGGAGUGGGUGCUACCAGUGUCACAAAUUAUUGGAGCCCCCUAUAACAACACAGUCCUUCACAGUAAAAUAUCAGUAGUACUGCUGUUGGUUUCAUCAAAAGCUAAGGGGAACUUAACAAUUACAAGCAUAACUGUUAUGUGACUGGCCUGCAGACUUUUACAGGAGUGGUUUAUGCUGUGUUUGGUCCAUUUGACGCUAAAAAUGCUUGAGAGCCGCUCGAGUAGUUAUUUGUAUUUUCGAGGAGCCUGAGGUUCACAUCAGCUUGCAAGCAUAUUGUGAACAUAUGUAAGCAUAUUACUCAGACAGUUUAGUUCUCAGAAGAAAGAUAAUGUUCCUUUUAAUAUUAUGAAGACAUUAAUCUCUAUUUCUUUUUGAGAAAACCUUGUAACUUGUGAUUAAAUUUGCUUACUUGAAUACAUGGAACUCUGUAAAUUUGUAUGUAAAUAAUCUAGAUCACAAGCACUGUUUUCUUUAUCUUCAAAUAAAAUAAAGAUAGAAAAACUAAACUGUUUCAAUCAGUUUGAAGAUAUCUGUACUUUGACCUAGGGUCUAUGGUUCCUAAAACAAUGUGAAACUUUUAACAGACUGUUUAAAUUAUGGUUACCAUAUGAGAACAUUAAAGUGGAGCUGACCUAUUA
Non-coding RNA from Taeniopygia guttata (zebra finch), 1880 nucleotides. The record is from RefSeq and is a predicted model, not a curated record. NCBI's taxonomy places the organism in Eukaryota, Metazoa, Chordata, Aves, Passeriformes, Estrildidae.